Molecule: long non-coding RNA, 1764 nt
Filed under: Equus asinus (donkey)
Lineage: Eukaryota; Metazoa; Chordata; Mammalia; Perissodactyla; Equidae
Description: lncRNA (ENSEASG00005031677.1)
Source: RNAcentral
UAUUAAUUGGACAUGCUCAACGGGAACCAAUAAGAUGGCCUGAGCCCGAACAGACUAGAGUGUGGAGAGCUGAUAUCAACAAGUUCUCUGUGCCGUAGCUCUAAGUGGAGCAUCCACUGGGGCUUAUUGUGAAAGUCUGUGAGUGCCUCCCAGCACCGACGACUGAAACUUGGCUCUCGAGAUUCCCAUUCCAGGGUAAUUACUAGCUUGCUAUCGGACCUUAAUUGAAACUGCCCCUAUGACUGAAAGCCAUAAAACAGCCUUCAGUCUAAAAUGCCUGUCAGGUCUUGGGUGAUGUCAGAAAAACACUCAUUGGGGAGGCCAGUGCCCAGAAAAGUUCCAUAAUGAAAUGGAAAUGGUUACAAAGGAUCAUGCUACUUCUGCAAUGCAAGGAUGAUGUACUUACAAGCAGGGAGCUUCUUUUCGCCUUGGACUGAUGUGUGAGGAGCUGCCAGAUUCUGUCAUCACUUGGACGGUGCCUUAUAAACAGCUCUCAACUGGCCAGCAAAGAGCAGCUUGGUUUAUUGUUGGCAGUUGUAAGGUAAACAGACAAUAUCCUCUUUGGAAGGCCACCAUCCUGGUCCAAGAAAGGUCAGCUGGGGGCUCUGUUCCACGUUACUCUCACUCUGGACACCAGGCUGACGUGAGAAACACCAACUGGAGUACCGCUGGUUGCUAUGGAGAGAGAAAGAAGUGGGAGAAUUUGUAUUGGCUCUUAAAAUAUCUGCUCCCAUGUCAUUGGUCAAAGCAGGUCCCGUUCCACAUCUAACUUCAAAGAGGAUAUGGAAGUAUACUCCCAUCACGUGUCUGGAAAGAAGGAAACAGGAUGUUUGUGAAGAGCCUGAGAAUACUACACGACUCUUUCAGUUGCAAAUGACAUAAACCAAAUUUUAAUUGGCCGAAGCAGAAAAGGGAAUUUGCUGACUCACGUAAGUGUAGGGGUUGUUUGGCUUCAAACACGGUUGGAUCUAGAUAGUCAAAGAUGUCUUCAGUGUUCCAUCUCUCUUCUGUCUGGUCCUUAUUCUCAGCUAGCAGCCUCCCAAGUCACGACAGAAAUAGCCAUCAGCAGUUUCACAAUUAUUUUCCAUCAACUAUAAAAGGGAGAGUCUCAGGGCAGUGUGGUGGCAUAGUGGCUGAGUUCGCACACUCCGCUUUGGCAGCCCGGGGUUCACUGGUUCGGAUCCUGGGCAUGGACCUACACACUGCUCAUCAAGCCAUGCUGAGGGAGCAUCCCACAUAGAAGAACUAGAAGGACUUACAAGUAGGAUAUACAACUAUGUACUGGGGCUUUGAGGAGAAAAGAAAAAAUUAUUUAAAAAAAAGGGAGAAUCUCUUCCCACUCUGUUCCACAAAAGUACCUGGAAUGAUUUCCAUUGGCCUAGAUUGAGUCACAUGUCCAUUCCUGGUCCACUCUCUCUGACUCUGAUUAGUCUGGCCUGAUUCAGGUGCCCAGGCUUUUGGAGCUGGGAAGUGAGUCAGCCCCACUUGAAAACUGUGGAUGGAUAAUGGGGGAGGGUUGUCUUCUCCAAAUGAAGAGAUGAUUCCAUUACUAGAAGAAGGGACACUGGGCAGGCCAAAACAAAAGAUAUUCAUCGUGUUCUCUCUUCCCUUUUGUGGUGGGUCAGAUGCACCCGUGAUGGAAUCCUGUUGGAAUGUGUGACCCCAGGCUUAUACCUGCUACCGCCCUUCAAUUUAUGCUCAAGGAAAGGCUAGGGCUUACUUCUCUGAGCAAGGUGUGGCGGGGAGGAGCUGCUUAGAAGUGGG